UAUUCCAUCUUUCAUCUCUGUUUAUUUGUUUCAGUUAUCCUCCACAUCUGAAAAAUGGUCCCUCCUUAUGUCCGCCUUGGAGAAUGCUUGACUUCUUUCAAAAUUAAAAUCACUUAACUCAGUAUCUAACACAUAAUAGUAGAAUACCAGUAAAUCUUUGAACAUAUUCGGCCACAACUCUCUACUUGAUGACAUUUUGCUUAACAUGUUUUCUCUGGAGACAAAAGUAUUUGUUAAUAUAGUUAGACUGCGAGUAAUAAUAUGGUCAAAUAAAAAAGGAUGAGAGACUAAAACCAUUUUCAAAGACUGGUUUUCAAGUUAUUUUCCUCCAGCAACUGAAAAAUACUGCAAGGAUAACAUCCCAUUUAGAUGAUGCCCCAGGUCAGUUGGCCAUCUAUAUCUGUUUCAUUGUGUGAGAAUGUGAGCUAGCAAAUUCACUGAGAUAUAGGUAAAGAUUUCUUCAUCUAACAUGAUAUGUGUGAUAACUUAAGGAAAGACUGUUCAUUCUG
Molecule: long non-coding RNA, 509 nt
Filed under: Monodelphis domestica (gray short-tailed opossum)
Lineage: Eukaryota; Metazoa; Chordata; Mammalia; Didelphimorphia; Didelphidae
Description: lncRNA (ENSMODG00000041949.1)
Source: RNAcentral